GACGAACGCUGGCGGCGUGCUUAACACAUGCAAGUCGAACGGAAAGGCCCUGCUUUUGUGGGGUGCUCGAGUGGCGAACGGGUGAGUAACACGUGAGUAACCUGCCCUUGACUUUGGGAUAACUUCAGGAAACUGGGGCUAAUACCGGAUAGGAGCUCCUGCUGCAUGGUGGGGGUUGGAAAGUUUCGGCGGUUGGGGAUGGACUCGCGGCUUUUCAGCUUGUUGGUGGGGUAGUGGCUUACCAAGGCUUUGACGGGUAGCCGGCCUGAGAGGGUGACCGGCCACAUUGGGACUGAGAUACGGCCCAGACUCCUACGGGAGGCAGCAGUGGGGAAUAUUGCACAAUGGGCGGAAGCCUGAUGCGGCAACGCCGCGUGCGGGAUGACGGCCUUCGGGUUGUAAACCGCUUUCGCCUGUGACGAAGCGUGAGUGACGGUAAUGGGUAAAGAAGCACCGGCUAACUACGUG
This 468-nucleotide ribosomal RNA is filed under the name uncultured bacterium. RNAcentral describes it as "partial 16S ribosomal RNA". It matches the Rfam family "Bacterial small subunit ribosomal RNA", at positions 28 to 507 of the family's 1533-position model. The record is from RNAcentral.